UUAUUUACAUACCAGCCCGUGCGAGCGAAUUUAUGAUUAUUACUUUUUAGUAUCAUAUAUUUAGAUUUUGGGCGUCUAGUGUAUAUCUAGUGAGUGAUGAUUGAUGACUAGUGUUAACGUUAAAUAUUAAUAUCGGAUUUGACCGUUUUGAGACAACCCGCGAUUUCAUGCUUAUUAGUUAUUAUCAUAUGUAGAUAGUGGAAAGUAAAAGUAAUUAUUAUUUAAUAUCUAUCGUAACCACAUUGUAAAAGACGUUCGUUGAUCGAUAAUAAUAUUUUGUAAAUUGGCAUAAAAUUAAUCCGAACUUCGUGUUCCUUCUUAAGCCCGUCUUAUCGAGUAUAGACAAUGCCGAAUAACCAGUUCAUGCACCCGAGAAAUAUAUACCGUACACCUCCCGCUUUCAAAGAGUUGUCGGUUAAAUAUCCAGAGUUCAAUAAAUAUGCGUCAACUGGUUUAAAUGGAAAAAUUGUUUUCGAUUUUAAAAAUCAGGAAGGUCUUCGAUUAUUAACUACUAUACUAUUGAAGAAAGACUUUGAUUUAGAUGUUGAUUUGCCAGUAGGUAGAUUAAUACCUACCAUUCCAUUACGACUAAACUAUUUAUUGUGGAUUGAAGAUCUGUUCAACUUGAACUACGACAAUACAAAAAAAAUCAAAGGAAUAGAUAUAGGUACAGGCUCAUCAUGCAUUUAUCCAUUAUUAGCAGCUAAACAAUUUCAAUGGUCCAUGGUCGGUACUGAUAUCAAUAAAGAAGCUGUUAAAAAUGCUAUUAAAAAUGUGGAAAAAAAUAAUUUACAAAAUUUAAUUCAAGUUCUUGAAGUAUCAGAAUGGGAAAGAUUAUUGCCAGUAGCAGUAGAUGAACAUUAUGACUUCUGUAUGUGUAACCCACCUUUUCAUAGUUAUUCAAAUUUAAACUCAGAUGAUGAUGAAGCUGAUAGUUCAGUAGGAAUUACUUCUGAAAUGUAUACAAUAGGAGGAGAAGUUGAUUUUGUAAAAAAAAUGAUCAAGGAAAGUGAAAUAUUACAAAAUUCAAUAAGUAUUUAUACAACAAUGGUUGGUUAUAAAGCAUCAUUAGACCCUCUAAAAAAUGAACUGAAAGCUAUUGGAGCAUGUACAGUUGCAGAAGCUGGUUUCUAUCAAGGUCGGAAUGCUCGUUGGGGAAUUGCUUGGACAUUUCAAUCUGAUAUAAAAUUAAAGGAUUUUUUGCCUAAUAAAGAGUUUCAAAAGGAGAAGUUAAAACAACUUAGACCUCCUGUGUCUUUUAAAAUUCCAGAAACAUAUGACUCUACAACUGCUCUAACCAAACUAUCAGAACUUCUAGCUAGUCUUAAGUUAUCCAUAGCGACAUUAAAAUCAAAAAGUGAUGAAAAUGUCUUAUACCAAGCUGACAUUCAAGCAUAUGAAAAUACAUGGACUCAUCAAAGACGAAAGAGACGUUUGGAAAAAAGAUUAGCUGAUAUCAAACGUCAAAAAACAAAUGAUAAUUGCUUACACAUUGAAUCGGAUGAUGAAAAAGCUGAUCAGCAUUUAGAGACUACAGUGAAUGCAAAGCCAUUAUUUUCAGCUACUGUAGUUCUAAGAAAAACAGACAAUUCAAUUUGUAUAGACAUGUUGCACAUGUAUGGCAAUAGAGACAAUUCAUAUCAAGUUUUUCAGUUCUUUAAGAAUAGAUUUAUAUAAUGGUUUCGUGUGACACAAAUUUAGGAAAACCAAAUCCAAGGCUAUCUGGCUGUGUGCUUGGUCGUUGAAAAUUCUCCCAAGAUGGAUCAGGCACAAAACUUUCAACUAUGUUACAUGGCUAUAAAAUGACAAAGAUCCGUUGCCAUUCAAAAACACCGAUGCUUGCAACUUAUACCCAAAUUGGCUGGUAUAAAACGGCGAACUAAUGAGUUCUAGACCAUCACCACAUAAUUUGUGCCGACCCUCUUCAAGUUUUUCCAGUACAGUCGCUGAUUUUCCAAAUUAGCGUACCUUUAAGUAAUAAAAUAUUUAUAAGCAAUUGAUAUUUAAAUUUAAUGUAUUGUUUAAAAAAUAUUAUGUACCAGACUGAUUAACAGCUAAAUUAUUUAUCACUUUUUUCAUGGAUACAAUUUGCUGUUGUUGUUUAGUGACCAUUGAACACAUUAAUGUUAAAUGUUGUUGGCUUGCUUCUUCCAUGUGAGUGUCCAUUUGCUUACCUCUUAAACUCUAUAGUUGAAAAUAUGAAAGUUAGUUAAAACUUUAAAAGGUACUCAAAUUAUAUCUUUAACUUUGUACCUUGAAUCGACAACCGACAUCUUUAAAGCUACAAGAUGUUAAUAUCGAAUGACAUGCAUGUUUAAUGUGAUGUUCUAAAUCUUCACGUGCUACAGUGACAAUUUCACAUCGAUUGGGACAAGUUAAAGGGAAACGUGGGCAUGAUGUUGU
This 2403-nucleotide unclassified non-coding RNA is filed under the name Rhopalosiphum maidis (corn leaf aphid). The record is from RNAcentral. Lineage: Eukaryota; Metazoa; Arthropoda; Insecta; Hemiptera; Aphididae.